CACGUAGGCGGCUUUGCAAGUCGGGUGUGAAAUCCCUGAGCUUAACUCAGGAACUGCAUUCGAUACUGCAUCGCUAGAGUAUGCUAGAGGAUAGUGGAAUUCCAGGUGUAGCGGUGAAAUGCGUAGAUAUCUGGAGGAACACCAAUGGCGAAGGCAGCUAUCUGGAGCAAUACUGACGCUGAGGUGCGAAAGCGUGGGGAGCGAACAGGAUUAGAUACCCUGGUAGUCCACGCCCUAAACGAUGAGAACUAGACGUUGGGUAUUUAUACCGAGUGUCGUAGCUAACGCGUUAAGUUCUCCGCCUGGGGAGUACGACCGCAAGGUUGAAACUCAAAGUAAUUGACGGGGGCCCGCACAAGCGGUGGAGCAUGUGGUUUAAUUCGAUGCAACGCGAAGAACCUUACCUACCCUUGACAUCAUCAGAACUUGUUAGAGAUAACUCGGUGCCUUCGGGAACUGAUAGACAGGUGCUGCAUGGCUGUCGUCAGCUCGUGUCGUGAGAUGUUGGGUUAAGUCCCGCAACGAGCGCAACCCUUAUCCUUAGUUGCCAGCGAUUCGGUCGGGAACUCUAAGGAGACUGCCGGUGAUAAACCGGAGGAAGGUGAGGAUGACGUCAAGUCAUCAUGGCCCUUAUGGGUAGGGCUACACACGUGCUACAAUGGACGAUACAGAGGGUCGCCAACCUGCAAAGGGGAGCUAAUCUCAGAAAGUCGUUCUCAGUCCGGAUCGAAGUCUGCAACUCGACUUCGUGAAGUCGGAAUCGCUAGUAAUCGCGAAUCAGCAAUGUCGCGGUGAAUACGUUCCCGGGCCUUGUACACACCGCCCGUCACACCAUGGGAGUUGGUUGCACCAGAAGUGGGUCGUCUAACCUUCGGGGGGAUGCUUACAACGGUGUGGUCAAUGACUGGGGUGAAGUCGUAACAAGGUAGCCGUAGGGGAACCUGUGGCUG
RNAcentral lists this ribosomal RNA (950 nucleotides) under marine metagenome. Its description in RNAcentral is "bacterial SSU rRNA". It matches the Rfam family "Bacterial small subunit ribosomal RNA", at positions 568 to 1520 of the family's 1533-position model. The record is from RNAcentral.